UACAGGGGGUGCAAACGUUGCUCGGAAUUAUUGGGCGUAAAGAGCUCGUAGGCGGUCUGUCGCGUCGGUCGUGAAAACUUGGGGCUUAACCCUGAGCUUGCGGUCGAUACGGGCAUGACUGGAGUUCGGCAGGGGAGACUGGAAUUCCUGGUGUAGCGGUGAAAUGCGCAGAUAUCAGGAGGAACACCGGUGGCGAAGGCGGUUCUCUGGGCACGAUCUGACGCUGAGGAGCGAAAGUGUGGGGAGCGAACAGG
Molecule: ribosomal RNA, 254 nt
Filed under: uncultured bacterium
Lineage: Bacteria
Description: partial 16S ribosomal RNA
Rfam family: Bacterial small subunit ribosomal RNA
Source: RNAcentral